Non-coding RNA from Pteropus alecto (black flying fox), 74 nucleotides. Lineage: Eukaryota; Metazoa; Chordata; Mammalia; Chiroptera; Pteropodidae. The record is from Rfam.
GGCUCCGUAGUGUAGUGGUUAGCACAUCUUCUUUACAUGCAGUAGGUCUUGGGUUUGCACCCCAGGUGGAGCCA